Eurytemora carolleeae is the source of this 726-nucleotide long non-coding RNA. RefSeq lists it as uncharacterized. The transcript is spliced from 3 exons. NCBI's taxonomy places the organism in Eukaryota, Metazoa, Arthropoda, Copepoda, Calanoida, Temoridae. The record is from RefSeq and is a predicted model, not a curated record.
CAAUACAGCUAACUGAGCACACAGGCAGGGAUCUAUCAUCCACCCUGGCUGUACUUAAACAAAGCACUAAUCUACAAUGUGCAUACAGAAAUAACCGGAAAACUCUGAAUUGAUUGUCAACUUCAUUCUAUCUUUUUUGUUUAAAUGUUCUUUGCCCCUUUUUUAGAGAUAAAUUAGUCAAUUAAUCAAAACUUCUUAAAAACAAUUUAUAUAAAAAGCACAUGUGAGACUUAUUCCACUGUUUUCUGGUUUUCACUGUACACCUCUGAUGCCUGAGUUCCACUAUUAAUCUAAAAAUGAAAUGCACACUGACACUCUCAGCGUAGGAUCACUUACCAAAAUCCCAGGAAAGAAGUUAAGAAAGAACUUGAAUGCAUUUCCCCGGUAAAAACCCCUCCUAGCCUGUCUAUCAACGGUGAAAAAGGAUUCCGAGUAUGGCAUAAUUUUUUGCCGGACUAUAGCGGGCGAAAUGCCGGGUUGCAUGCACUCUAAGUGUACCCUCGUCAUGCAAACUCAACUCAGUCCGUCCGAACCUUUGGGAGAAUACGGAACCUAACCUACCCGGCCUCAACCCUACUCCGGUAAUAGUAAAGUGUAUGUGGGAUGCACUCUACACUCUAUAUACAGGAUGGAUAUCAACCACCCAGUCAGGGAUAUUUACAGUACUGCAGUACCGUGUACGGCGAGGAUAAUAAUAAACAUGGAUACAUUCAAAAUAAUCUCAGG